RNAcentral lists this long non-coding RNA (227 nucleotides) under Monodelphis domestica (gray short-tailed opossum). Its description in RNAcentral is "lncRNA (ENSMODG00000037097.1)". Lineage: Eukaryota; Metazoa; Chordata; Mammalia; Didelphimorphia; Didelphidae. The record is from RNAcentral.
GAAAAAAAUCUACAAUUGCAAAGAUUAGGUGAGGAGUCCAGAGAUAACCUGGCUAAACUUGAGGAGGACAAAGCCAAACUAUCACAACAAAUCAAAAAAUUGCAACAAAUGAUACUAGAAGUAGAGGAGAAUUUGGACAAGGCACCGUUGGAAAUGUUCCAAGAUAUGAAAGUCACCUUGGAAAGAAGUGAGAAGCUGAUGCUUCAAGAACCGGAGGUUACUUCCCC